This 139-nucleotide unclassified non-coding RNA is filed under the name soil metagenome. RNAcentral describes it as "partial internal transcribed spacer 1". The record is from RNAcentral.
CUGUGGUCGGUUGGCUCCUCUGGAGCGAUCCAUCCCUUCGGGGUUAUCGUCUUUGUAUUUUUUUUUUUUUUUUCAUUCAUUAGCAAUGGACGCCCCGCGGCCGAAACGCGGGGGGGCGUGUUGUGGAAUCGUGAGAGAA